This 1717-nucleotide ribosomal RNA is filed under the name Mycterophallus sp. NLG-2014. RNAcentral's name for it is "partial 16S ribosomal RNA". The stretch from base 1570 to 1717 matches the Rfam family "Archaeal large subunit ribosomal RNA", at positions 2544 to 2692 of the family's 2987-position model. Lineage: Eukaryota; Metazoa; Arthropoda; Insecta; Coleoptera; Scarabaeidae. The record is from RNAcentral.
UAAACUAGGAUUAGAUACCCUAUUAUUGAAAACGUAAAUUUAUAAACUUGAGUAGUAGUAGUUAUGUUCUUGAAAUUUAAAGAAUCUGGCGGUAUUUUAGUCUAUUCAGAGGAACCUGUUCUAUAAUUGAUGAUCCACGAUUAAUUGUACUUAUUUUAAAGGUUUGUAUAUCGUCGUAGUUGGAAUGUUUUAGAAGAAAAUGCAAUGUUCAAGAUUUAGAAAUUUAAAGGAAAUCAGAUCAAGAUACAGCGGAUAGAUAAGAAGAAAUGGGUUACAAUAAAAAUAUUUAAAUGGUUAGUUUAAUUAACAUUAAACUAUAAAGUGGAUUUGAAAGUAAUAUAAUUAAGUUAAAUUAUAUGAUUUUAGCUCUAAAAUAUGCACAUAUCGCCCGUCGCUCCCGUUUUAAGAUGGGAUAAGUCGUAACAAAGUAGGCGUACUGGAAAGUGUGCCUGGUAAGGCAAAUUAGAGCUUGUUAAAAAGCAUUUUAUUUACAUUAAAAAGUUAGUUGUGAAAAUCAAUUUAGUUUGAAAUUAUAAAUUUAUAUUAAUUUUAUAAAAAAAAUAUUUUUAUUAUUAGUAUUUUUUAGAAUAGGAAGUUUAAAUUAUAGUGGAUAUGUAUAGUGAUAGGGCAUUGAAAUAUUAGAAUAGUAAAUUAAUAAAAAGAAGAGUUGAAUUUUUGUACCUUGUGUAUCAGGGUUUAUUAAAAUAAUUUAAUGAGUUAUAUUUCUCGAAUUAAAAAGAGCUAAUUUUAUAUAAAUUUAAUUGUAGCAUAAAUUUUUAUAAUAUAAUAUUAGAAAUGAAACGUUAUUCGUUUUUUAAGAUAUCUAGUUUUUUAAGAAAUAAAUUUAAUUUAGUUAAUGAUUUAUAUUUAAUUAAUUGUUUAAUUUAGUAUAAUUAUUAGGUAAUAUCUUAAGGGAUAAGCUUUAGGAUAAAUUAAUAAAAUUAUAUUUUAUAAGAGAAAAAAUAUAGGAUUGGAAGUUUUUAUUAUAUAGUGCGUUAUAGCUAAUUUUUUUUAUUUAUAGGAUUUAUAUUUAAUUUAUAUUUUUUAUUAAGAUAAUAUAUAUAAUUGAAUUUUAUAUGUAAUAAUGAUAGAAUUAGUAUAAUUUAAUGUUAUUAUAAUUAAGAGAUUAAGGUUAAAUUAAGGAACUCGGCAAAUGGAUUUUUCGCCUGUUUAUUAAAAACAUGUCUUUUUGAUAAUAAUUUAAAGUCUGACCUGCCCAAUGAGGAGUUGAAUGGCCGCGGUAUUUUGACCGUGCAAAGGUAGCAUAAUCAUUAGUUUUUUAAUUGAAAGCUGGAAUGAAUGGUUGGACGAGAAAAUAACUGUCUCAGUUUAAUUUUUAUUAGAAUUUUAUUUUUAAGUAAAAAAGCUUAAAUGAAUUUAAAAGACGAGAAGACCCUAUAGAGUUUUAUAUUUUUUUUUAUGUUAGUAUUUUAGUAUAGUUAGACAUUUAAUAAAAGGAAAUAUUUUGUUGGGGUGACAGAAAAAUUAAAUGAACUUUUUUUAUUUAAUUACAUUGAUUUAUGAAUAAAUGAUCCGUUUAUUACGAUUAUAAGAUUAAAUUACCUUAGGGAUAACAGCGUAAUUUUUUUUGAGAGUUCUAAUCGAAAAGAAAGUUUGCGACCUCGAUGUUGGAUUAAAAUUAACUUUUGGUGUAGGGGCUGAAAGGUUAGGUCUGUUCGACCUUUAAAAUUUUACAUGAUCUGAGUUCAAACCGGAG